AUGAACGCUGGCGGCGUGUCUAAGGCAUGCAAGUCGAAUGGGUUUAGACCCAUGGCAAACGGGAGAGGAACGCAUUGGUAAUCUGCCUCGAAGUUCGGCAUAACUCCGCGAAAGCGGAGAUAAUUCCGGAUGCGCUCUAUGAUCUAACGAUCAUAGCGUAAAGAUUUAUCGCUUCGAGAGGAGCCUAUGUCCUAUCAGCUAGUUGGCGAGGUAAAAGCUCACCAAGGCUAUGACGGGUAGCGGGUGUGAGAGCACGACCCGCCUCACUGGGACUGAGACACUGCCCAGACUCCUACGGGAGGCUGCAGUCAAGAAUAUUCCCCAAUGGGCGAAAGCCUGAGGGAGCGACGCCGCGUGACUGAUGAAGUCCUUCGGGAUGUAAAGGUCUUUUCUCAGGGAAGAACAAAUGACGGUACCUGAGGAAUAAGAGGUUGCUAACUCUGU
Molecule: ribosomal RNA, 444 nt
Filed under: uncultured bacterium
Lineage: Bacteria
Description: bacterial SSU rRNA
Rfam family: Bacterial small subunit ribosomal RNA
Source: RNAcentral